This is a non-coding RNA of Chelonoidis abingdonii (Abingdon island giant tortoise), 358 nucleotides long. The record is from the annotation of a RefSeq genome assembly. NCBI's taxonomy places the organism in Eukaryota, Metazoa, Chordata, Testudines, Testudinidae.
AAACAUUUCCAACCACACAGAAGCAAGAUGAUCUCAAAGACUCCCCUUAUCUGGCUGCUGCUUUUCUGGAUUCACGGUUCCAUUGGACAGACUGUGAUGACUCAGACUCCAGAAUCUCUCUCAGUGUCUGUGGGAGAGACCGUCACUAUCAAAUGCAAAGCCAGCACAAGCAUUAGCAGCUACAUCGCUUGGUAUCAACAGAAACCUGGACAGGCUCCCAAGCUUCUUAUCUAUUAUGCCAGCAGCCGUUCCACAGGCAUCCCAGACCGGUUCAGUGGCAGCGGUCAGGCACUGACUAUACAUUCACCAUCCACAAGAGUUGAAGCUGAUGAUGCUGGAGAUUAUUACUGCCAGCAGC